RNAcentral lists this ribosomal RNA (484 nucleotides) under uncultured bacterium. RNAcentral describes it as "partial 16S ribosomal RNA". It matches the Rfam family "Bacterial small subunit ribosomal RNA", at positions 30 to 507 of the family's 1533-position model. The record is from RNAcentral.
AUUGAACGCUGGCGGCAGGCCUAACACAUGCAAGUCGAGCGGAUGAAGGGAGCUUGCUCCUGGAUUCAGCGGCGGACGGGUGAGUAAUGCCUAGGAAUCUGCCUGGUAGUGGGGGAUAACGUCCGGAAACGGGCGCUAAUACCGCAUACGUCCUGAGGGAGAAAGUGGGGGAUCUUCGGACCUCACGCUAUCAGAUGAGCCUAGGUCGGAUUAGCUAGUUGGUGGGGUAAAGGCCUACCAAGGCGACGAUCCGUAACUGGUCUGAGAGGAUGAUCAGUCACACUGGAACGGAGACACGGUCCAGACUCCUACGGGAGGCAGCAGUGGGGAAUAUUGGACAAUGGGCGAAAGCCUGAUCCAGCCAUGCCGCGUGUGUGAAGAAGGUCUUCGGAUUGUAAAGCACUUUAAGUUGGGAGGAAGGGCAGUAAGUUAAUACCUUGCUGUUUUGACGUUACCAAAAGAAUAAGCACCGGCUAACUUCGUG